UUACUGAGCAAGUCUUCUUUGACAGACUUCCACCAAGCGACAUAUGGAAACGUGGAUUAUCUGCCAAAGGAGAUUUGCUCACUAACU
This 87-nucleotide microRNA precursor is filed under the name Ricinus communis (castor bean). RNAcentral's name for it is "miR399f stem-loop (rco-MIR399f)". Its record names the gene rco-MIR399f. Lineage: Eukaryota; Viridiplantae; Streptophyta; Magnoliopsida; Malpighiales; Euphorbiaceae. The record is from miRBase by way of RNAcentral.